Long non-coding RNA from Zea mays, 467 nucleotides. RefSeq lists it as uncharacterized. The record is from RefSeq and is a predicted model, not a curated record. The transcript is spliced from 3 exons. Lineage: Eukaryota; Viridiplantae; Streptophyta; Magnoliopsida; Poales; Poaceae.
GAAACUACUCCACAUGCUUGAUGAUAGCGAAGUAGUGUAUGAAGACGAGGAAGGCCCUAUUACUCAAGCAGACUUGCAAAGGUGGUUUGUUGAUGAUUGGGAUAAAAGAGCUCCUGUAAAAGUCUCUACCGAUGGGUGCACAAAUGACUUUUUAAUGGUUGGUCUUUCCACAAAGGACAUGCCAGUGACCAAAGCCGAUUCAAUAGAUGUUUUAUGUGAUUAUAUCAUGGCAAUAGAAGACGAUACGACACUAGAGAGAACAUGGGUGCGAAGUUUCAAUCCUUUUAAGAUAGAAAUAUCUGUCAAAGACCUGCAAAACAUAUUAACGAUAAAUCAAGAUAUGAUUAUAAGAUGCUUUGACAUGGCUGUUCGGCUGCUUGCCAAUAAAGAGUCACGUAGGCCGAAAGAAGAAAUCAUAAAUAAUAGAAAGCAUUAUAUGGACAUGCGUUUUUGGAGAAUGGUUGGUU